AGCCGGGAGAUUUAUUAUUUUCUAGUAUUAAAAUUGUUUUAUGGACUUCAGUUUCUGAGAACUCUUUAAAUAUAAUAUCAUUAGAAUAGGAAUUACAGUUUUUAAGUGUAUUAAAAUAAUCAUUAUAGUUAUCAUUGUUAGAACAUUUAUUUUUAAUGUAUAGGGUUAUAUAAGCGCCAACCUCUAAGAAAAAAUCAUUAAAAUAUUAGCCCAUAAGACUGGUUCCUUUAUUAGAUUGAUUCUUUUAUUUUUAAACUGCAUUGAAUUACUCAAAAUGUUAUUCUUUUUUUUCUAUCAAAAAUAUUCUAAUUUUGUUUAGUAUUUUUAUUAUAAAGUUCUUAGAUAGUCUAAUUAAUGUACAUAAUUUAUUUUUAUACAUUAUGAAAUAUUAUAACUAUAUUAGAACCAGGAGGCGCUUUUAUAGCUUUUAAACUUAAUCCAUCUGUUUUUCUAAUAGAAACUAAUAGGCCAGAUGUAAUCCAGGAUUUAAAUGUUUGUUUCUUUGCAUAAGUAAAAUAAUGUUGAGUAUUCAGCAAUAGUAUUAUGAAAGUUAUUUGCACAAUUAUCGAUAUUUACUUCAUUGAACACAUUACUCCAAUCGGUAAAGGAUAAUUUAUUUAAGCAGUGUAUUCCAGUUAACUUUUUUAAUAUUACAUAUAUUAUCUACUUUAGUCUCAUUAUUUUGUACUGUUCAUCCAACUACAUAAUGAUCAGUUAUACCGGAACAGUAAAUAAAACUUAUAAUAUUAUUAAUGCUAUUAAGUAUUAGAAUUAAUAAAAAUGUUAUCAAAUACAUGAAGUACUAAUUUUCUGUUACUCUAGUGAAAUUUGAGAUACAUUGAUAAAAACCAAGUUCAGCCAUACAAUCGAGGUAUUUAGAUUUGUUAAUAUUGUUACUAGCAUUAGAAAUAUCAAUAUUUAUGUCUCCUAAUAUUAUUAAAUUGUUUGAUUAAUGUUAAUUGUUAAUGGUAAUAAUGUUAAUUUUUGACACACAUUGUUUAAAAUUACUAAUAAAAUAUUUAAAAUUAUUACUUGGACUUCGAUAUAAAGCAAUAAUUUCAUAUUUU
Molecule: non-coding RNA, 1067 nt
Organism: Cinara cedri
Lineage: Eukaryota; Metazoa; Arthropoda; Insecta; Hemiptera; Aphididae
Source: the annotation of a GenBank genome assembly